Molecule: non-coding RNA, 1275 nt
Organism: Salvia hispanica
Lineage: Eukaryota; Viridiplantae; Streptophyta; Magnoliopsida; Lamiales; Lamiaceae
Source: RefSeq, a predicted model, not a curated record
UUCUCUUCUUUCUCACAAUCGACGGUUUCUCUCAUUGUUUCUUCUUCCUCCUUCCAUGGAGGUUCCUCCAUUAUCUCUAUUCAAUUCUACAUAUUUUACAUGGUAUCAGAGACAAAAGCUUCCGCAAUCUCUCUCUGAUUUCUCUCAUAUCUCGAUCUUCUCCGAUCGAUCUUCUCCUAUCGCGAUGAACAAUCGCAAUCGAGCCUUAUCUCCCGAUCUAUUUCCUUUUUUGUUCAUGAUGAACAAUCGUGGUGAUUUGUUGCCGGAGAGUUCUCCGAUCGACUGACCGCCGGCAAAAAAGUGUUCGAUCUCCUCUCAGUUUUCUCUCUUCUCUCUUCUCUCUCUGUUUUUUUCAUUUUAUUUUUUGAAUCGGUUGAUUUGAAUCUCCGAUCUGAAUUUUUUUUUCUCAUUAAAAUUUUCUCUAUUCUCACAGAUUGAAAUAAGAUUCUAUGAAUCUGAAAUAUCAAAUCUGUUUCUCAAUUUUAAAUCUCCGAUUGAAUUCGGUUUUCUCUAUUCUCACAGAUUGAAAUAGGAUUCUAUGAAUCUGAAAUAUCAAUUCUGUUUCUCAAUUUUAAUCUCCGAUUAAAUUUUGGUUUUCUCAGUUCUCAAAGAUUGAAAUAAGAUUCUAUGAAUCUGAAAUAUCAAUCUCAAUCUCUGUUCUCUCAUUGAAUCUCUCAGUUUUGUGUUUCUCUCCUUUUAGUCACCGAUUUUAAUCGGUUGGUUCUAGUUUUAGUCUUUAUUAAAUCUCAAAUUUGUUGUGUAUCCAGUCUAUCUCGGUUCAUCCUUCUCUGAUCCAAUAGACCAGAUUGUCUUCACUGAUUAUUGUCAGUUUUGAUAGUCUAUGACAGAGCGUGAUUCUCUCUAUACUUGGUUUGAAAUGUGUUUUUGCUCUUGAUUGAGAUUUUUGCAUCAUAGCCGAAUUUGUUGUUGUUUUUGCCGAGGAUAAAUACUUUCUAUCCUAUGCUCUGAUGUGGUGCUGUUCGUAGUCAAUCGGUGUUGCGAUGAAGAUCAAGAUGUUGGAAAAUAAAGUGUAAUUAGGUUUUAGUUUGUUGAUCAUUUUGAUGCUCCUUUUGUAGUUUAAGUUCUUGUCAAGAUGUAGCAAUUGUUUGCUUCCAUCUUGAGGGAGGCUAUUAGAAUUGGAAAAUAAAGUGUAAUUAGGUUUUAGUUUAGUCUUUAUUUUCUGCCUAUAUAAAAGGCAUUUUAUUGUAAAUUGUAGUCAACAGUUCCAAAAUGUAGUCAAUAAAGAAAUUCUCCCUUUUCUCUUCUUUCUCACAA